UUUCUUCUCUUCAUUUUUUCCCUUUCUCUUUCUUCUCUUCAUUUUUCCCAGCUCUCCCUCCCACCAUAACAAUCUUCACUUCACUUUGACUCUCACUCUCACCCUCACUCUGAAAUUCAUCCUUAAGUUAAUGUUUGGUUCAUCGGUUGCGAAUGUUGAUCGAGAAGUUGACCAUUUUGCUGUAGUCAUGGAUCCUUUGAGAGUUACCCGAAUGAUGUUUUUUAUGUUCAACCUUUACUAACAAGGCUGCAACCAUUGAAGACGAA
Lupinus albus (white lupine) is the source of this 266-nucleotide non-coding RNA. The record is from the annotation of a GenBank genome assembly. NCBI's taxonomy places the organism in Eukaryota, Viridiplantae, Streptophyta, Magnoliopsida, Fabales, Fabaceae.